AGUGAACGCUGGCGGUAGGCCUAACACAUGCAAGUCGAACGGCAGCACAGUAAGAGCUUGCUCUUACGGGUGGCGAGUGGCGGACGGGUGAGGAAUACAUCGGAAUCUACUUUUUCGUGGGGGAUAACGUAGGGAAACUUACGCUAAUACCGCAUACGACCUACGGGUGAAAGCAGGGGAUCUUCGGACCUGGCGCGAUUGGAUGAGCCGAUGUCGGAUUAGCUAGUUGGGGGGGUAAAGGCCCACCCAGGCGCCGAUCCGUAGCUGGUCUGAGAGGAUGAUCAGCCACACUGGAACUGAGACACGGUCCAGACUCCUACGGGAGGCAGCAGUGGGGAAUAUUAGACAAUGGGCGCAAGCCUGAUCCAGCCAUACCGCGUGGGUGAAGAAGGCCUUCGGGUUGUAAAGCCCUUUUGUUGGGAAAGAAAAGCAGCAGGUUAAUACCCCGCUGUUCUGACGGUACCCAAAGAAUAAGCACCGGCUAACUUCGUG
This 492-nucleotide ribosomal RNA is filed under the name uncultured bacterium. RNAcentral's name for it is "partial 16S ribosomal RNA". It matches the Rfam family "Bacterial small subunit ribosomal RNA", at positions 29 to 507 of the family's 1533-position model. The record is from RNAcentral.